GACGAACGCUGGCGGCGUGCUUAACACAUGCAAGUCGAACGGAAAGGCCCUGCUUUUGUGGGGUGCUCGAGUGGCGAACGGGUGAGUAACACGUGAGUAACCUGCCCUUGACUUUGGGAUAACUUCAGGAAACUGGGGCUAAUACCGGAUAGGAGCUCCUGCUGCAUGGUGGGGGUUGGAAAGUUUCGGCGGGUGGGGAUGGACUCGCGGCUUAUCAGCUUGUUGGUGGGGUAGUGGCUUACCAAGGCUUUGACGGGUAGCCGGCCUGAGAGGGUGACCGGCCACAUUGGGACUGAGAUACGGCCCAGACUCCUACGGGAGGCAGCAGUGGGGAAUAUUGCACAAUGGGCGGAAGCCUGAUGCAGCAACGCCGCGUGCGGGAUGCCGGCCUUCGGGUUGUAAACCGCUUUCGCCUGUGACGAAGCGUGAGUGACGGUAAUGGGUAAAGAAGCACCGGCUAACUACGUG
Molecule: ribosomal RNA, 468 nt
Filed under: uncultured bacterium
Lineage: Bacteria
Description: partial 16S ribosomal RNA
Rfam family: Bacterial small subunit ribosomal RNA
Source: RNAcentral